This 397-nucleotide unclassified non-coding RNA is filed under the name Saccharomyces cerevisiae (brewer's yeast). Its description in RNAcentral is "partial ITS1". The record is from RNAcentral. Lineage: Eukaryota; Fungi; Ascomycota; Saccharomycetes; Saccharomycetales; Saccharomycetaceae.
AAUUUAAUAAUUUUGAAAAUGGAUUUUUUUGUUUUGGCAAGAGCAUGACAGCUUUUACUGGGCAAGAAGACAAGAGAUGGAGAGUCCAGCCGGGCCUGCGCUUAAGUGCGCGGUCUUGCUAGGCUUGUAAGUUUCUUUCUUGCUAUUCCAAACGGUGAGAGAUUUCUGUGCUUUUGUUAUAGGACAAUUAAAACCGUUUCAAUACAACACACUGUGGAGUUUUCAUAUCUUUGCAACUUUUUCUUUGGGCAUUCGAGCAAUCGGGGCCCAGAGGUAACAAACACAAACAAUUUUAUUUAUUCAUUAAAUUUUUGUCAAAAACAAGAAUUUUCGUAACUGGAAAUUUUAAAAUAUUAAAAACUUUCAACAACGGAUCUCUUGGUUCUCGCAUCGAUGA